RNAcentral lists this transfer RNA (77 nucleotides) under Leptotrichia sp. RNAcentral describes it as "tRNA-Asn". It matches the Rfam family "tRNA". From Rfam's summary of the family: Transfer RNA (tRNA) molecules are approximately 80 nucleotides in length. Their secondary structure includes four short double-helical elements and three loops (D, anti-codon, and T loops). Lineage: Bacteria; Fusobacteriati; Fusobacteriota; Fusobacteriia; Fusobacteriales; Leptotrichiaceae. The record is from RNAcentral. RNAcentral also lists the same sequence under 2 other names.
GUCUCCGUAGCUCAGCUGGUUAGAGCAUCUGACUGUUAAUCAGAGGGUCGUUGGUUCGAGUCCAACCGGGGACGCCA